This 2685-nucleotide ribosomal RNA is filed under the name Triticum aestivum (bread wheat). RNAcentral describes it as "partial small subunit ribosomal RNA". The record is from RNAcentral. Lineage: Eukaryota; Viridiplantae; Streptophyta; Magnoliopsida; Poales; Poaceae.
AUGGCCCUGUUCGAUCGGAACCAGAGGCAGCGGUCGUCGCUCUUCUCGACGGCGACCGUCGUCGUCUUCGCAGUGCUCUGCCUCGUCGGCUUCUGGAUGGUCUCCCCUCCGUCGCCGGAGGCCGUCCCGGCGGCCACGGUGACGGCGUCCACGGCGGACGUCAAGAAGGCGGCGGAGGCCGUCGUGAAGGAGAAGGAGGAGGACCGCUCCAUCGACGCCACCAACAACUUCAAGCAGGACAGUGCCAACGUCGUCGCGGAGGCCACCACGGCCGCUGUGGAGGCCGAGAAGCCCACCGUGGACGCCAAGGGCGGCGAGGCCGACGGCGAGAAGCCGGCGUCCAAGAACCAGUCGUUCGAUGACGAGAACGGCAGGACGGAGGGCGGGGAGCUCGUGAAGCCGGAAACCGCCGAGACGGACGGCGCCGCCGCUGCCGCUGCCGCCGUGGCUGCUUCCCAGGGGAAGAGCGUGGAGGACACGGUGACAGACGUGAAGGAGCAGGCUUCUACCGACACCAAGGAAAGCGCAGGCAGCGGCGGUCAGGACGCGAACACUGAGAAGUCGCCGGCUGACACCAAGGAGAGCAUCGUCAGCCAGGAGGAAAACCCGAAGGAGGCCGCCGGCGGCGGCUCUUCAAAGAAGCAGACCUUCGACGACGAGAACGGCAAGAUGGAAGGCGUCGACGUGGUGAAGGAUGACGGCAACAAGACGUUCAUCUCAGAGGACAAUGCCAAGCCAAUCAUGGAGGAGACGACCACCGCCGUCACGGACAAGACGGAGGACGCGGCGGCGGCCGUGGUAUCGACCGAAGCCUCCGCCGUCACUAAUCCCGACGAUACGAAGACGUCGGACGUUGUCGAGGAAGAGCAGAAGCUUCUUCCGGAGACUCUGGAGAACGGGCAGGCGGAGCUGCUGAUGGAGCGGGCGGCGCAGAACGGGUCGUUCACGACGCAGGCGGCGGAGUCGACAAACGAGCAGAAGACGCGCGCCGAGAAGAAAAAGAAUAAGAAGAAGAAGAAGAAAGCGGCAAGCAAGGCGGAAGCGGAAGCGGAACCGGAGGCGGCGGUGUCGUUGCCGGCGCACGUCUGGAAGCUGUGCAACACGAGCACAGGCGAGGACUACAUCCCGUGCCUGGACAACGAGGCCGCCAUCAAGAAGCUCAAGACCGACAUUCACUACGAGCACCGGGAGCGGCACUGCCCCGCCCACCCGCCGACGUGCCUCGUCCCGGCGCCGCUGUCCUACAAAGAUCCCAUCCGGUGGCCAGUCAGCCGCAGCAAGAUCUGGUACCACAACGUUCCGCACACGCAGCUGGCGGAAUUCAAGAAGCGUCAGAACUGGGUGAAGGUCUCCGGCGAGUACCUCACGUUCCCCGGCGGAGGCACGCAGUUCAAGACCGGCGGCGCGCUGCACUACAUCGACCUGAUCCAGCAGGCGUUCCCGGAGGUGGCUUGGGGCCGCCGGAGCAGGGUGGUGCUGGACGUGGGGUGCGGCGUGGCCAGCUUCGGCGGGUUCAUGUUCGAGCGGGGCGUGCUGACCAUGUCGUUCGCGCCCAAGGACGAGCACGAGGCGCAGGUGCAGUUCGCGCUGGAGCGCGGCAUCCCGGCCAUCUCCGCCGUCAUGGGCACCAAGCGGCUCCAGUUCCCGAGCAACGUGUUCGACAUAGUCCACUGCGCCCGGUGCCGAGUCCCCUGGCACAUCAACGGCGGAUUGCUCCUCCUGGAGGUGAACCGCCUGGUCCGGCCCGGCGGUUUCUUCGUGUGGUCCGCCACCCCCGUGUACCAGAAGCUCCCCGAGGACGUGGAGAUCUGGGGCGAGAUGGUGAAGCUGACCAAGGCCAUGUGCUGGGAGAUGGUGGCGAAGACCAGGGACACCAUCGACCGGGUGGGCCUCGUCAUCUUCCGGAAGCCGAUGAGCAACCAUUGCUACGAGACACGGCGGCAGACGGAGCCUCCGCUGUGCCACCCGUCCGACGACCCCAACGCGGCGUGGAACAUCUCGCUGCGGGCGUGCAUGCACCGCGUCCCCACCGACCCGUCGGUGCGCGGGUCGCGGUGGCCGCAGCAGUGGCCGGAGCGGGCGGAGAAGGCGCCCUACUGGCUGAACAGCAGCCAGGUGGGCGUGUACGGGAAGGCGGCGCCCGAGGACUUCGCGGCGGACUACGCGCACUGGAAGAAGGUGGUCCAGAACUCGUACCUGGCCGGCAUGGGCAUCGACUGGAAGAGCGUCCGGAACGUGAUGGACAUGCGGGCCGUGUACGGCGGGCUGGCGGCGGCGCUGCGGGACAUGAACGUGUGGGUGAUGAACACGGUGAACAUCGACUCGCCGGACACGCUGCCGGUGAUCUACGAGCGGGGCAUGUUCGGGAUAUACCACGACUGGUGCGAGUCCUUCAGCACCUACCCUCGCUCCUACGACCUCCUCCACGCCGACCACCUCUUCUCCAAGCUCAAGGCCAGGUGUAAGGUGUUGCCGGUGCUGGUGGAGGUGGACCGGAUCCUGAGGCCGAACGGGAAGCUGAUCGUGCGGGACGACAAGGAGACGGUGGACGAGAUCGUGGAGGGGGUGAGGUCGAUGCACUGGGAGGUGAGGAUGACGGUGUCCAAGCGCAAGGAGGCCAUGCUCUGCGCGAGGAAGACCAUGUGGCGGCCCACGGAAAUCGAGCCGGGGCCGCCCACAAGAUAA